This is a long non-coding RNA of Solanum lycopersicum (tomato), 282 nucleotides long. RefSeq lists it as uncharacterized. The record is from RefSeq and is a predicted model, not a curated record. NCBI's taxonomy places the organism in Eukaryota, Viridiplantae, Streptophyta, Magnoliopsida, Solanales, Solanaceae.
CUGGAGGGCGCAUACUUGAUUCAUUUAGGAGUUCAUUAACUCCUAGAUUGGUACAAGCUCUAGUGUACCUUCAAGAUUGGCUUCGGAGUGAGCCAUAACCCAUAAGUAUUGAGGAAGAUUUAGAUUUUCUUGAGCAACUUGAAGAAGAUUUUGCUAAACUUGGAAAAGAACUUUGCAUUGAUGACAUGUAAAAUUGGAGGAAGGAAGAUUUCAUCAUGCAUCGAUCACUUGUUUGGAAUCACUAUGAAAAACUUGAAGAAAAUGAAGAUGGAUCGUGGAAGG